AAUCAACGCUGGCGGCGUGCCUAACACAUGCAAGUCGAACGCGAAAGCCCCGCAAGGGGCAAGUAGAGUGGCAAACGGGUGAGUAACGCGUGGGUGACCUACCUUCGAGUGGGGGAUAACGUUCCGAGAGGGACGCUAAUACCGCAUGACAUUCUGCCUUUGAAGAGGUGGAAAUCAAAGCCUGGGACCGCAAGGCCAGGCGCUUGAAGAGGGGCCCGCGUCCGAUUAGCUAGUUGGUGAGGUAACGGCUCACCAAGGCUUCGAUCGGUAGCCGGCCUAAGAGGGCGGACGGCCACACUGGGACUGAGACACGGCCCAGACUCCUACGGGAGGGCAGCAGUGGGGAAUCUUGCGCAAUGGGCGAAAGCCUGACGCAGCGACGCCGCGUGAGGGAUGACGGCCUGG
This 405-nucleotide ribosomal RNA is filed under the name uncultured bacterium. RNAcentral describes it as "bacterial SSU rRNA". It matches the Rfam family "Bacterial small subunit ribosomal RNA", at positions 29 to 419 of the family's 1533-position model. The record is from RNAcentral.